Long non-coding RNA from Rhinopithecus roxellana (golden snub-nosed monkey), 498 nucleotides. RefSeq lists it as uncharacterized. NCBI's taxonomy places the organism in Eukaryota, Metazoa, Chordata, Mammalia, Primates, Cercopithecidae. The record is from RefSeq and is a predicted model, not a curated record. The transcript is spliced from 2 exons.
CCUUCAGCGACAGGCUGGUUUUUGCCGCAGUCUCUGACCAAGAAAACCCUUCCAGGGGCAGCUCAACCUGGGGACAACCACAGAGGUGGGAUCUGGGCCCGAAGACAGGUGUCACCUGAAACAGGCCACUGUUGUCCGGCUGCAGUAUGCUGGGAGGACCAGCUCCUGCUCCACCGUGCCCCCGCUGGGAGGAAGGUUGACCCGUGCGUGGGAGUGUGACUGCUGGAAAGGCAUCCUUGCCGCAGCUGUGAGUGUGAUGGGACAGCAGAGUCACUCCUGCAUAGGAUUCUAGGGCUGGGGGUCCCAGAGGGGUGGCCCCGCCCCUCCUGGAGGCCAAGGACUGUCACCGUGUCACUACGGCACUCUCCAGCUGCUCACCGAAGCCCUCGCUGACCACAGCCCUGCCACAUUACGGGUCUUCCCUCUGUAGCAACGUGAAGAGACUGCAGUGAGGCGUGGAAUUGGGCAGUUCUUCUGGAUUCAUUAAAAACUCGUUCC